AGCAGUAGCCACGGGAAUACGAAGGGUGCAAGCGUUAAUCGGAAUUACUGGGCGUAAAGCGUGCGUAGGCGGUUUGUUAAGUCUGCUGUGAAAUCCCCGGGCUCAACCUGGGAAUGGCAGUGGAUACUGGCAAGCUAGAGUGUGUCAGAGGAUGGUGGAAUUCCCGGUGUAGCGGUGAAAUGCGUAGAGAUCGGGAGGAACAUCAGUGGCGAAGGCGGCCAUCUGGGACAACACUGACGCUGAGGCACGAAAGCGUGGGGAGCAAACAGGAUUAGAUACCCCGGUAGUCCCUGUCUCUUAUAC
RNAcentral lists this ribosomal RNA (303 nucleotides) under uncultured bacterium. RNAcentral's name for it is "partial 16S ribosomal RNA". It matches the Rfam family "Bacterial small subunit ribosomal RNA", at positions 507 to 807 of the family's 1533-position model. The record is from RNAcentral.